AUGGCAUCAAUGAUGUUACAUCCAUAUAUUUACUCAUCCUUGCACUAUGAGCUGCGCGAUGAAGAAAUCAGUGGGGAAAGUUGCCUGAGAUGCUA
Molecule: small nucleolar RNA, 95 nt
Organism: Sorghum bicolor (sorghum)
Lineage: Eukaryota; Viridiplantae; Streptophyta; Magnoliopsida; Poales; Poaceae
Rfam family: Small nucleolar RNA snoR26
Source: Rfam